GAUGAACGCUGGCGGCGUGCCUAAUACAUGCAAGUCGUACGGAAAGGCCCUUCGGGGUACUCGAGUGGCGGACGGCUGAGUAACGCGUGGGAACGUGCUCCAAAGUGAGGGAUAACGCACCGAAAGGUGUGCUAAUACCGCAUUUGGUCUUCGGAUUAAAGCUUCGGCGCUUUGGGAGCGGCCCGCGUACGAUUAGAUAGUUGGUGAGGUAAUGGCUCACCAAGUCGACGAUCGUUAGCUGGUCUGAGAGGAUGAUCAGCCAGACUGGGACUGAGACACGGCCCAGUCUCCUACGGGAGGCAGCAGUAAGGAAUCUUCCACAAUGGGGGCAACCCUGAUGGAGCAACGCCGCGUGCAGGAUGAAGGUUUUCGGAUCGUAAACUGCUUUUAUAAGUGAAGAAUAUGACGGUAACUUAUGAAUAAGGAUCGGCUAACUACGUGCCAGCAGCCGCAGUAA
This 457-nucleotide ribosomal RNA is filed under the name uncultured bacterium. RNAcentral's name for it is "partial 16S ribosomal RNA". It matches the Rfam family "Bacterial small subunit ribosomal RNA", at positions 28 to 523 of the family's 1533-position model. The record is from RNAcentral.